GCUUCACCGUGAUCCGAGCCUCCUUUUCUCUUGCGUUUUAGCAGUUUUUCCACGGAUUUAAAAAAAUAAAACACCGAGAACUUGGGAGUUUUGUACUCCUGACACCGUCUAUUUUUUUUUUAAAAAUACUUCCAGACUGCAUAACCCUGAAAAAAAUUAUCUUAUUGGAAGAUAUAUACUCUGUCUAUUCAACAAUAGUUGAAGCCGCCUUGGAAAUUGUAAAUCCUCAGUUUGAGAGAUUUUAGCUCAUUGUACUGCAGUGGGCAUUGUAAUGCAAUAGACAAAAUACUUCUGUAUACUGUAUGCUUCUGUACAUAUGUAAAUUCUAUUGAAAUCAUGUUCAGUUCAUCCUAUAAGUUAUGAAAUACUGUCCAAAGACAUGGCUUGAUUUAGGCUUAGUACACCUUGACAUCUGCAGUAUCUUUCUUGGCUGCUAAUGGGAACCUCUUUCGGAAGCACCAGCCACUGACCUACAAACAUUAAAAGAAAAAUUACCAGCAGCCUAGAGGAAUGUCAGAUAAUGUUCUGUCCUUAAAAAUAGAAAAAGUGGAAUUAGGAUAUGUCAUUUCAAACUUGGUAAGAGCAAAACAAGACCUAUGCAUGGCUGAAGUUAGAAACAAGAGGAAAACAAGUUGACAAGGAAAAAGGUGGAUCUUCAUAAAAGCCAGGACAGCUAUCUUGGUUGAGAAAAAUAACAAAGGAUUUUAUAUUAACCAUUUCACUGGAAGCCAAUGCUGGAAGGACCAACAAUUUCAUAUUCAGAAAGAAAAUUAUCAAGACUGGUACAGGUAGUCCUCGACUUAACCACCACAAUGGGGAUAGAAUUCCCUUUCUAACUGAGGAGGUUAAGAAGAAGCCCCUGAAGCAAUCUGAUUUCUGAGAGUGGCUGAAUUCAUAGAAUGAGAUGGAGUAAUGCUACAUCAGGAGCCUUACAGGGAAACUGAAAACACUGGUGCUGAGCACCCAGUUGCUAGGCUGAAUACAUAGAAAGGAUGGAAAGAGUUCAUUAACAAGACCUACCCAGACCUGCAAGCUUUAGCUGUCCAAACACAGAGAGCACUAAUCAGGGAAAUGAACCAUAGAAAAGAAAGUGCUACUGAAUUCAUCAGACCAAAAGCAGAGCCAGUGAAAGGAGCAGCAACCUUUCUACAGGACAAGCUACAUAUAGUUGUGUGGUGUAUGUGUUUCUGAAUAUAAAGGUGAUCAGCUUCUGCUCUCUGCUUGAAAUCACUCAAUUUCAAAUACACUUGCACAAUUUG
Pantherophis guttatus is the source of this 1259-nucleotide long non-coding RNA. RefSeq lists it as uncharacterized. Lineage: Eukaryota; Metazoa; Chordata; Lepidosauria; Squamata; Colubridae. The record is from RefSeq and is a predicted model, not a curated record.